AAGCGGAAGAUGCACCAUGCCUGGGCACCAUGUGUCUAAAAUCAGUGUUGUCAACUCGGUUUAUAGCAAACAUCCUCACAAAAAUGGCUGUUCUGCUUGGACUUUUUUCUGCUCUCCUAUUUGUGUCUGAAGCCAUAUUUGUGUACAAUGUCAACUCGACCGUCAUGGACUCAGCACUCCUGGAAUGUAGCGUGCCAGUUAAAACAGACUUGAAAAAUCUUCGCUUUUACUGGCAGGAUGAAAGGAAUUAUGUUUUGUACUCUUUCAAUAAAGGAAAGACAAUGUUCAACCAUGUAAACGACCCUUAUCUGAACAGGGUCUCGGCCUUCACCCAGGACAUGACGAAAGGAAAUAUUUCAGUCCUAGUCAAGAAUUUGACUCUUGGAGAUAAUGGGAGGAUAUUUGAAGCUUACGCUGCAGUUUUUAAUGGUUCGAAGACAGUGAUGCAGAACUCAAAAGUUUGCCAUGUAAAUUUGUAUGUAACAGUGCCUUACAAGGACCUCAAGCUGGCUGUAAACACUAAAAUGAUGACUUCAGUGUGUACGCUGCGCGAUGUAUUUCCAGCUCCUGAGAUACACUGGACCAUCCACUACAACCACUCUGAAUCCUUAGUUGACUCGAAGUAUGUCCACACUAAGACAGAGCAGGACCCUGAAAACUAUCUGUACACCUCCAGCAGCACUCUCCACAUCCCUGCAGGUCCUUACCGAGCCAUUACCUGUCUGUGCCACAACCCCACUUCAAAUACGACUCUGAACGCCACCUAUACUUUAAGCAAAGGUGCAGCAGUAUGGAGUUUACCUGGCUGGUCUGCAGGUCUCAUAGUGGCUGCUGCGGUUCUUCUAACAGCUCUGAUGCAGCUGUAGUUCACACAUGAUGGCUUGGUUUUGGUGGUGGACGACUUCAGCUGGUCUAGGAGUUUCAAAGUACACCAAAGUUUGUGUGACUUUUGAUGUAUUUAUAAGUGUAUUUAUGCCACACUACUCCAGUCUUAUUGCAAGCCUAAAUCAGAGACUUUUGAAAAUGCUGCUUAUCCAGUUUCAGUCUGGCUGGAUGGGAAAACACAGACUGAGUUUCAUGAAUCAGAAAAAUGAAACCAAAAGAUCACACCUAGGAUCAGGUUCCCUGUGUGGUUUCAUCCUUUUCGUGUUGGGUAGUUACUUCAGGAUUUCAGAAAAGGAACAAUUGCGCACACAUGUGGGUUAAAAACCUCGAGUUGGAUAAUAAUAGUUCUGCUGCGGGCAGAAGAUGAAAGGAGUAGAGAUUGUGAAGGUGGAUGAGUUUAAAUGUUUGGGCUCGACCAUCCAAAUAGACAGAGCGCACGAAACGUGAAGAAGAAGGAACAGAGGAAGACCUCAGAGAUUCAUGGAUGUAGUGAAGGAGGACUGGUGACAGAGGAGGGUGCUGGGAGUGAUCUGUUUUGAAAAGCAGCUGAAAACUCCUUUUAAACUUGUUUGUUUUUUAGCACUAUGAUUGUGAAGCAC
This is a long non-coding RNA of Oreochromis aureus, 1484 nucleotides long. The record is from Ensembl. Lineage: Eukaryota; Metazoa; Chordata; Actinopteri; Cichliformes; Cichlidae.